UAAGGAAUAUUGGUCAAUGGGCGGAAGCCUGAACCAGCCAUGCCGCGUGCAGGAAGACGGCCCUACGGGUUGUAAACUGCUUUUGCAGGGGAAUAAACCCCGGUACGUGUAUCGGGUUGAAUGUACUCUGAGAAUAAGGAUCGGCUAACUCCGUGCCAGCAGCCGCGGUAAUACGGAGGAUCCGAGCGUUAUCCGGAUUUAUUGGGUUUAAAGGGUGCGUAGGCGGCUUAUUAAGUCAGGGGUGAAAGACGGUAGCUUAACUAUCGCAGUGCCUUUGAUACUGAUGAGCUUGAAUGUAGUUGAGGUAGGCGGAAUGUGACAAGUAGCGGUGAAAUGCAUAGAUAUGUCACAGAACACCAAUUGCGAAGGCAGCUUACUAAAGUAUGAUUGACGCUGAGGCACGAAAGCGUGGGGAUCAAACAGGAUUAGAUACCCCCGUAGUCC
This 444-nucleotide ribosomal RNA is filed under the name uncultured bacterium. Its description in RNAcentral is "bacterial SSU rRNA". It matches the Rfam family "Bacterial small subunit ribosomal RNA", at positions 355 to 796 of the family's 1533-position model. The record is from RNAcentral.